RNAcentral lists this ribosomal RNA (756 nucleotides) under uncultured bacterium. Its description in RNAcentral is "bacterial SSU rRNA". It matches the Rfam family "Bacterial small subunit ribosomal RNA", at positions 8 to 796 of the family's 1533-position model. The record is from RNAcentral.
AGAGUUUGAUCAUGGCUCAGAAUCAACGCUGGCGGCGUGCCUAACACAUGCAAGUCGAACGAGAAAGUGGAGCAAUCCAUGAGUAAAGUGGCGCACGGGUGAGUAACACGUGACUAACCUACCCUGGAGUGGGGGAUGACUGAGGGAAACCUUAGCUAAUACCGCAUAAUACCCACGGGUCAAAGGAGCAAUUCGCUUCAGGAGGGGGUCGCGGCCGAUUAGUUAGUUGGCGGGGUAAUGGCCCACCAAGACGAUGAUCGGUAUCCGGCCUGAGAGGGCGCACGGACACACUGGAACUGAAACACGGUCCAGACUCCUACGGGAGGCAGCAGUGGGGAAUUUUGCGCAAUGGGGGAAACCCUGACGCAGCAACGCCGCGUGGAGGAUGAAGUCCUUCGGGACGUAAACUCCUUUCGAUCGGGACGAUUAUGACGGUACCGGAAGAAGAAGCCCCGGCUAACUUCGUGCCAGCAGCCGCGGUAAUACGAGGGGGGCGAGCGUUGUUCGGAAUUAUUGGGCGUAAAGGGUGCGUAGGCGGUUUGGUAAGUCUUAUGUGAAAUCUACAGGCUCAACUUGUAGUCUGCAUGAGAAACUGCCGGGCUUGAGUAUGGGAGAGGCGAGUGGAAUUCCUGGUGUAGCGGUGAAAUGCGUAGAUAUCAGGAGGAACACCUGUGGCGAAAGCGGCUCACUGGACCAUAACUGACGCUGAUGCACGAAAGCUAGGGGAGCAAACAGGAUUAGAUACCCUAGUAGUCC